UUGGAGGGCAAGUCUGGUGCCAGCAGCCGCGGUAAUUCCAGCUCCAAUAGCGUAUAUUAAAGUUGUUGCAGUUAAAAAGCUCGUAGUUGAAUUUCGGGGUUCUACCGUUGGUCGGGCUUUGUCUGUACUGGUGUGUAGAAUUUCUACCUUCUGGGGAACCAUCAUGCUAUUAAUUUAGCGUGGUGGGAAACCAGGACCUUUACCUUGAAAAAAUUAGUGUGUUCAAAGCAGGCUUAUGUCUGAAUACAUUAGCGUGGAAUAAUAGAAUAGGACGGUGGUCCUGUUUUGUUGGUUUCUGAAUCACCGUAAUGAUUAAUAGGGAUAGUUGGGGGCAUUAGUAUUCAAUUGUCAGAGGUGAAAUUCUUGGAUUUAUUGAAGACUAACUUCUGCGAAAGCAUUUGCCAAGGAUGUUUUCAUUAAUCAAGAACGAAAGUUAGGGGAUCGAAGACAAUCAGAUACCGUCGUAGUCUUAACCAUAAACUAUGCCGACUAGGGAUCGGACGAUGUUAAUUUUUCUUGACUCGUUCGGCGCCUUACGGGAAAC
RNAcentral lists this ribosomal RNA (544 nucleotides) under uncultured Glomeromycotina. RNAcentral describes it as "SSU rRNA". It matches the Rfam family "Eukaryotic small subunit ribosomal RNA", at positions 548 to 1098 of the family's 1831-position model. Lineage: Eukaryota; Fungi; Glomeromycota. The record is from RNAcentral.